GUAGGUGGCAAGCGUUGUCCGGAAUUAUUGGGCGUAAAGCGCGCGCAGGCGGUUCGUUUAAGUCUGAUGUGAAAGCCCACGGGCUCAACCGUGGAGGGUCAUUGGAAACUGGAGAACUUGAGUACAGAAGAGGAAAGCGGAAUUCCACGUGUAGCGGUGAAAUGCGUAGAGAUGUCGGGGGAACACCAGUGGCGAAGGCGGCUUUCUGGUCUGUAACUGACGCUGAGGCGCGAAAGCGUGGGGAGCAAACAGGAUUAGAUACCCUGGUAGUCCACGCCGUAAACGAUGAGUGCUAAGUGUUACGGGGGUUUCCGCCCCUUAGUGCUGCAGCUAACGCAUUAAGCACUCCGCCUGGGGAGUACGGCCGCAAAGGCUG
RNAcentral lists this ribosomal RNA (376 nucleotides) under uncultured organism. RNAcentral's name for it is "partial 16S ribosomal RNA". It matches the Rfam family "Bacterial small subunit ribosomal RNA", at positions 527 to 896 of the family's 1533-position model. The record is from RNAcentral.